Molecule: ribosomal RNA, 1726 nt
Organism: Drosophila willistoni
Lineage: Eukaryota; Metazoa; Arthropoda; Insecta; Diptera; Drosophilidae
Rfam family: Eukaryotic large subunit ribosomal RNA
Source: Rfam
CAACCCCAACUCAUAUGGGACUGAGCGGCGAGCGAAAAGAAAACUUUGUCUUUAUGGCAAAUGUGAGAUGCAGUGUAUGGAGCAUCAAUAUUCUAGUAUGAGAAAUUAACGAUUUAGGUCGUUCUUAAAUGAGGCCAUUUACCCAUAGAGGGUGCCAGGCCCGUAUAACGUUAAUGAUUACUAGAUGGUGUUUCCAAAGAGUCGUGUUGCUUGAUAGUUCAGCACUAAGUGGGUGGUAAACUCCAUCUAAAACUAAAUAUGACCAUGAGACCGAUAGUAAACAAGUACUGAAUAGGGAUUCCCGGAGAGAAGGAAUUCGUUGAAUUCAAAAUAUGAACUGAUUUUAUUUACAAAAGUACGGAGUUUAUAUAGGAAAUCUUAGGCUCUAGGAGGUAACAAUUGUUCUUAAGGAGAUCUUAUUCUAGUACAACUCACACCCACGCAUUCGGGGGUUGAAAAAUUAUUAUUAUUUUGGGCACGGCGUCGGCCACUUGACAUCCUGCCGUCGUGAUCGUUUGGGUUAGUUUACAAUUACAAGUGUUUUUCCCACAACGCGUGUGGCUGAUUGUAAUUCUAGUCACAUGCUAGGUUAGUUGUUUGUGCCAAAGUACAGUUGUAUUAUAUUUUCUUUAGUGCAUCUAAUUUGGUGAAGCCGCUUCAGAUGAACACGAUGUUUAUUCUUAAACAAGUACCGUGAGGGAAAGUUGAAAAGAACUCUGAAUAGAGAGUUAAAUAGUACGUGAAACUGCUUAGAGGUUUAGCCCGAUGAACCUGAAUAUCCAUUAUGGAAAAUUCAUCAUUAGAGUUUUAAUAUUUUAAUAAUAUUAUAAUAAUAGUGUGCAUUUUUUCCAUAUAAGGACAUUGUAGUCUAUUAAUAUAAACCAAAUUUAUCAUAAAAUAUGACUUAUAGUUUAGUUUUUUAGUUUUUUUAUUAUAAAUGUCAUUAAUUUGAUAAAGUGUUGAUAGAUUUAUAUGAAUACAGUGCGUUAAUUUUUCGGAAUUAUAUAAUAGCAUGAUUAUCAUUGAUUUUCUGUGUUUAUUAUAUGCACUUGUAUGAUUAACAAUGCGAAAGAUUCAGGAUACCUUUGGGACCCGUCUUGAAACACGGACCAAGGAGUCUAACAUAUGUGCAAGUUAUUGGGAUAUAAACCUAAUAGCAUAAUAAACUUGACUAAUAAUGGGAUUAGUUUUUUAACUAUGUAUAGAUAAUUAACACAAUCCCGGGGCGUUCUAUAUAGUUAUGUAUAAUGAUAUUUAUAUUAUUCAUACCUCUAACUGGAACGUACCUUGAGCAUAUAUGCUGUGACCCGAAAGAUGGUGAACUAUACUUGAUCAGGUUGAAGUCAGGGGAAACCCUGAUGGAAGACCCAAACAGUUUUGACGUGCAAAUCGAUUGUCAGAAUUGAGUAUAGGUGCGAAAGACCAAUUGAACCAUCUAGUAGCCAACUUCCUUCCGAAGUUUCCCUCAGGAUAGCUGGUGCAUUUAAAUGUUAUAUAAAAUAAUCUUAUCGAGUAAAGCGAAUGAUUAGAGGCCUUAGGGUCGAAACGAUCUUAACAUAUUCUCAAACUUUAAAUGGGUAAGAAUCUUAACUUUCUUGAUAUGAAGUUUAAGUUAUGAUUUUCAUAUCAACGCUCUCGAGGAAGACGGACGUGUUUUUUUUAUGCUCCCGCGUUUUAACUGAUUUUAUAAUUUUUUUUAUUUGUGUUAUCGGCAUUGCGAUCGAAA